GUUCCAUAAGCUAAAUUGGCCUAGCGUUCGUUUUGUAAUCGAAAGUUUUAAAGUUCGAAUCUUUAAUGGAACA
Non-coding RNA from Dujonia railenensis, 73 nucleotides. Lineage: Eukaryota; Fungi; Ascomycota; Pichiomycetes; Serinales; Debaryomycetaceae. The record is from the annotation of a GenBank genome assembly.